ACCCCAUGAUAUAAGCCGGCAGGGAAAAUAUUUUCCAUUUUUUCCUGUGACUAUGAUUGGGAACAACAAUGUUUAUCCGAUGUGUGUAUGUGGCAAUAUCAAACAAAUUUAUUGCACCAAAGAAUGAUUCGGAGCACA
Molecule: small nucleolar RNA, 138 nt
Organism: Bactrocera neohumeralis
Lineage: Eukaryota; Metazoa; Arthropoda; Insecta; Diptera; Tephritidae
Product: small nucleolar RNA snoR639/H1
Exons: 1
Source: RefSeq, a predicted model, not a curated record